Molecule: ribosomal RNA, 1442 nt
Filed under: Vibrio parahaemolyticus 861
Lineage: Bacteria; Pseudomonadati; Pseudomonadota; Gammaproteobacteria; Vibrionales; Vibrionaceae
Description: bacterial SSU rRNA
Rfam family: Bacterial small subunit ribosomal RNA
Source: RNAcentral
AUAGCGGCGUCGAGCGGCGGACGGGUGAGUAAUGCCUAGGAAAUUGCCCUGAUGUGGGGGAUAACCAUUGGAAACGAUGGCUAAUACCGCAUGAUGCCUACGGGCCAAAGAGGGGGACCUUCGGGCCUCUCGCGUCAGGAUAUGCCUAGGUGGGAUUAGCUAGUUGGUGAGGUAAGGGCUCACCAAGGCGACGAUCCCUAGCUGGUCUGAGAGGAUGAUCAGCCACACUGGAACUGAGACACGGUCCAGACUCCUACGGGAGGCAGCAGUGGGGAAUAUUGCACAAUGGGCGCAAGCCUGAUGCAGCCAUGCCGCGUGUGUGAAGAAGGCCUUCGGGUUGUAAAGCACUUUCAGUCGUGAGGAAGGUAGUGUAGUUAAUAGCUGCAUUAUUUGACGUUAGCGACAGAAGAAGCACCGGCUAACUCCGUGCCAGCAGCCGCGGUAAUACGGAGGGUGCGAGCGUUAAUCGGAAUUACUGGGCGUAAAGCGCAUGCAGGUGGUUUGUUAAGUCAGAUGUGAAAGCCCGGGGCUCAACCUCGGAAUUGCAUUUGAAACUGGCAGACUAGAGUACUGUAGAGGGGGGUAGAAUUUCAGGUGUAGCGGUGAAAUGCGUAGAGAUCUGAAGGAAUACCGGUGGCGAAGGCGGCCCCCUGGACAGAUACUGACACUCAGAUGCGAAAGCGUGGGGAGCAAACAGGAUUAGAUACCCUGGUAGUCCACGCCGUAAACGAUGUCUACUUGGAGGUUGUGGCCUUGAGCCGUGGCUUUCGGAGCUAACGCGUUAAGUAGACCGCCUGGGGAGUACGGUCGCAAGAUUAAAACUCAAAUGAAUUGACGGGGGCCCGCACAAGCGGUGGAGCAUGUGGUUUAAUUCGAUGCAACGCGAAGAACCUUACCUACUCUUGACAUCCAGAGAACUUUCCAGAGAUGGAUUGGUGCCUUCGGGAACUCUGAGACAGGUGCUGCAUGGCUGUCGUCAGCUCGUGUUGUGAAAUGUUGGGUUAAGUCCCGCAACGAGCGCAACCCUUAUCCUUGUUUGCCAGCGAGUAAUGUCGGGAACUCCAGGGAGACUGCCGGUGAUAAACCGGAGGAAGGUGGGGACGACGUCAAGUCAUCAUGGCCCUUACGAGUAGGGCUACACACGUGCUACAAUGGCGCAUACAGAGGGCGGCCAACUUGCGAAAGUGAGCGAAUCCCAAAAAGUGCGUCGUAGUCCGGAUUGGAGUCUGCAACUCGACUCCAUGAAGUCGGAAUCGCUAGUAAUCGUGGAUCAGAAUGCCACGGUGAAUACGUUCCCGGGCCUUGUACACACCGCCCGUCACACCAUGGGAGUGGGCUGCAAAAGAAGUAGGUAGUUUAACCUUCGGGGGGACGCUUACCACUUUGUGGUUCAUGACUGGGGUGAAGUCGUAACAAGGUAGCGCUAGGGGAACCUGGCGCUG